UGUACGUUAAUUGAGCUAUCAUGUAAUCCUUCUAAUUUAAAUAUCUGAAUGAUUUAACAAAUGUUUGUAUAAGGGGUGUAAUCAAAGUACCUUCUAUGGAGAUGUUGCUCUCAUGCUGGGAGUAGGGCUGGGGUUCAAAUUCCCGUUAGUUUGUGUCUGGCUGUUAAGUCCUUGAUGCGGUGUGAUGGAGCAUGUCUGACUAAUUUUUGUUCAGGUGCGAUUUCCAAACACAAACGCAAUCGGUUGCCCAGAUUUGAGUGGGAUCACGCCUACGUCCUGUUCAUUGUACCAAAUUUAUCUUUGUGUGGGGAUCAAUCGCUCACAUAAUUGCCAUCAAUCAGUGAAAAGAUUCAAUAUCAUGCGCUUACAUGAAAUGAUGCUUAGAAUAUUUCACCUAUGGCUAUCACCUAUGGCAGAUGGCCUCACAAAUUUUAUCUAAAUUAUGGUACAUGGAAGUUGAACUUAUAGCCAAUUGAAACCAUCAAACAUUUUAAAAAUUCACUCGAACUAGACUGAUACAACGAGCAAAUGACACCGAAAGUAGACCAGGCGCUGUCCGAACCUCACAGCCGCUCCCCUGACUCCUAAUGUUACUGGAAUCUGACAGUCUGCAAUUCAGUGAGCGUUACCGCAGUAGUCCCCUCAGUUCUCGUUCAUUGAAGAUGCACCCUGCUAGUUGACACAAUGAGGCAUUUCAAUCCCUACUUUAGUUAAGUACUGUUUGCCAUGUUUGACUUGAGUAACGCACCCGUUUCAUAAUUCAGGGUUCAACUUUGACACACAGUAUCCCACCUCUCUCGGAUUUUUGACCAAUAUUGGGGAUAAGUGUAAGGAUUUCCUAGGUAGCCCGCACCGUUUGACGGACUAGUGACCAUGUUAAUGAUUCACCCCUUCAGCGACCAGCGAUUUGCCAUUACGUUCUCCGAUGUGAAUAUGAUUCUUCAGAUGAAUGGAAUCGGACGUUGCCAUUUGGUAAUUGGUAGAUUUGACCUGACUCGAAUUAUCAUUUCUUCCCAGUCAGGAUGACCAAACGGCGUGCCGGAUUGAUCGCGUCGGGGGCACAACUGAGAGCUGUGUAAAUCGCCACGCUUCUCCGGUCGGCGGUGGUAUCAGCUGCAUCCAUGGCUCAGGAUGACCAAACGGCGUGCCGGAUUGAUCGCGUCGGGGGCACAACUGAGAGCUGUGUAAAUCGCCACGCUUCUCCGGUCGGCGGUGGUAUCAGCUGCAUCCAUGGCGGCUGGAAACUAAAGCUUGGUAUACCGGACGCUAGGUGGCGAGCGCGUGCUUAGCUUGUCUGCGUGGUGGCACUGACAACGGAACGCACCGGCCGACGUUAGAGAUGUAGGUGGCGUUGGCAGCGUGUCGUUCUGACCAGGGGUCACACCGCAAGUGGAAUUGACGCUUGUGCAUGCCAAAGUGGCCCUUCCCUUUCGUGCUGGUGGGAUGGGUUUUGCAGUAAGCCAGGAAUGUAAGGCUUCGCGCGGAACCGUGAAAGAUUACCGAAAACCCGAGCUAACCGCAUCGAACUGAGGUCCAAUUAUGAACGUUACUGAGUUCGUUGCACGAACCCCUUUGUCGUUGUUGAAUAAUUUUAAGGUCGUGCAGCGCGUUCAGGGGUCUGGGAAGGCGAUACUUAAACUUGAUAAGACAAACACGAUUUAGAAUGCUGAUUACUACGGAGUGGGAAACCCCCUUAUCAGUUGUCCUGUAACCUAUUCUUGUUAGAGAAAUCCUGUAUUAACACGUAUUGAACGGUUUGUAAUACGUAUUGAACGGUUCGAUUGGGACGAUUUCAAGAAACAAAAAGUUCUUACUCAGAUUUUGGGCUUCUGAAAUCUUUCUACACCAACUCUAGGCACACCACCAAUGGACCACUGGCAUACGAAGUAAUUGUGACCUCUUUGCGUUCCUCGAGGUAACGUAAGGCGUCUAUCAUGGGUAUGACAAAAUGCGUAAAAGUAAGCUAUGACUGGUUUGGGUUCUCAAUGCAAGGAUAAAUGUAACCGGUCGCUGAAGAUAUCCUUGCCCAGGGAUCAAGCGCUGAUUUACAGGAAUUUACAUGAUGAUAUGCCAUGAGCUGCGCCUCUUGUUUCACCUUACUUUAAAGGUUGGUUUUAUUGACUCCUUGAGACAUUUCAUUAAUAGACGGCAUUAUAUUAGGCAUCAAGUUACUACUGGCGGCGAUCUGACGUUAAAUUUCAAUUCAAGUCUGGGGUGCGUGGGUUCGUCACAUCUUUAUGAACGCUGAUGGUAAUUAGGCGGAACAAGGCACGAUUUGGUAGGCUGACGGUUGGUGAGGCGGAUAAAAAAAGGGAGAACACUUUAAGGAAUUCCGCAUAAACAUAUAACAUUGCGUGCAGGUGACUGGAAUUAGCACCAAAUGACAGUUCAUUUCGUGAAAAUCUGGACGACAUUAAUCUUCUCUGCUUUCGGUGUGCCGGAUUGACUGCGAAAUGAGGUGUUGCUGACUCAAUUCUGUGUUAUACGCCCAGACAGGCGCUCAUAGCUCCGUCGUGGUGACAGUUGACCCCCUGGCCCGACCGACCGCUCCGCUGCGUGUGGUACUCAACCUCGGUCGCUGUGUGUGCAGUGCGGGGUGUCAUAUUUCCACCAUGUGACUACUGAUCGUAAGUGGAUGGUUCUGGCAUCAAUGACCUCCUUGAUACUCGUCUCGCAACGCAAUACAGCUACCCAUUCCCUUUCCCAGACAGGUUGUUUAAUUUUUCACGCUUUAUUUUACACUACACGGACAAUUUAUGACAA
Molecule: long non-coding RNA, 2763 nt
Organism: Amphibalanus amphitrite
Lineage: Eukaryota; Metazoa; Arthropoda; Thecostraca; Balanomorpha; Balanidae
Exons: 3
Source: RefSeq, a predicted model, not a curated record